CAGGGUCUAAAACAGAUACGUGUACACCCAUGUUCAUAGCAGUGUUAUUCACAAUAGCCAAAUGGUAAAAGCAACCGAAGUGUCCACUGGGAUAAACAAAACGUGGUCUAUGCACACAGGGAAUAUUAUUCAACCUUGAAAAAGGAAGGAAAUUCUGACAUAUACUACAACAAAACAUUAUACCAAGCGGAAUGAGCUGGUCACAAAAAGAUACAUACUGUGUGAUUCCACUUACGUGAGGUCCCAAGAGGAGUCAACUCCAGAGACCAGAAGUAGAAUGGGGGCUGCCAGUGGCUGGGGGAGAGGGGAGUGGGGAGCCAGUGUUUGAUGGGGACAGCGUUUCAGUUUGGGAAGAUGAGAAAGUUCUGGGAAUGAAUACUGGUGAUGUUUACACAACACUGUGAAUCUACUUAGUGCUAUUGAACCGUACACUUAAAAACAGUUAAAAUGGUUAAAAGACAAAAGAACAGUCCUGGGGAAAUAAACCCCCAAGGACUCCUGACUGGUUUAAACGCGAGACGUGCCACGCUCCAUCAACCUCUCCUUCAGACAAGCGGCCUAUGAGGACGCAGCACUAAAGGGGGCGGGGGAGGGCCCUGGACAGGCGGGGCGGAGGCAGCACAGUGUGUAACCUUCCCUGAAUCUGCGCAUAAAAGCAGAUGCAGCAAUUAGAAAGCAAAGCCAAACACCCAGAGGCAACAUUUACCAUAAAUUUAGGUGAGAAAGUAUCACCACAAACCCAAGUUGUAAGCUAGGGGAUGAGCCACUGCCAGCAACAGGACCCGUGUGUUGCCGUCAUGCCGGGGACGUGGGGGGCACAGGGCCUCUGACAGAUGUGAGAACAGGAGGGCCUCAGAGGUGCCUACACGCCGGGACCAGCUGCCUACAGAACUGAGGACAGUCACCUGCUGAACAGGUUCACGGCCUAGGAGCAACAGGCUGCACCACAGACGAGCCUCCUCUUCCCUCCGGUGAGGCAUGGACAAUCAGACUUCUGGGCCAGGCCCACUGUGCCCCACCGCCUACUGGAGCCGUCCUUCACCGUGCCUCUAGCUGGAUGUAAUCAGGAACUCAGCGUGCACCACCUCACGUCUGGCUGUUUCUGCCUUUGUGAUGUCCGAGAGGUUCGUUCCUGUGGGUAUGCAUGGCUCCAGCUGCUCAUUUUCUUGGCCAUACAGAAUUCUUGUUAUAUACAUAUUUUAUGAUUCAUAAACGCUACUGUUGGUGAACAUUCCGGCUGUUUCUAGUUUCCUGGUUUGGAGUAAUGGUGUCAACACUUCUGCACACAGAUCACAACAUACCUGUGAACGUACCACGUCAGGCACAUUCCAGAGUGGAUGGCUGGGUCAUGGCGUCUGUGCACCUUCCAUUUAGUAACUGAUGUCAAAACAGUACACUGGAGUCCCCCUCCACGCAUUUGCACUCACAUUUGCUAUCGUGUCUUAUUUUAGCACCCAAGAGGGUGGUUUGUUAUGGGGUUCUAUUUCACUGUGGUUUUCACCUGCAUUUCCCCAGUGAAUGAGAUUAAGCAUCUUAUACCUUAACUGGCCCUUGUGCAUCCUCUUUUGUGAAGUGCUUGUCAAAUCUUUUGGUUGUUUUUCAAUGUCUUUUUCUUAUUGUUUUGUAGAAAUUCUUUAUAUAUUAAAGAUACAAGCCUUUGCCAGGAAUUUUUAAAGAACUUUCACACACAACAUGGAUUGCCUUUCUACUACCUUGAUGUUUCUUAACCAGAAGUUCUUAUUUUUACUAUAAUACACUCUAUCGGCAUUUUUCUUUAUGGUGAUUUAUUGUUUUUGUUGAUGUUUUAAAAAUUAUCCUAUUUCAUAGUCAUAAAAGACAUUUUCCUACAUUAUUUUCUACAGACUUUUUGCUUUUGCCUUUCAAACUGAGAUCUACAAUCUAUCUGAAACUGAUUUUUACAUAUGGUAUGCGGUAGAGGUCAGGAUUUAUUUUUCCCCAAAAUACUAGCUAAUUCUCCCAGUAUCAUUUAUUGAAAAACCGUCUUUCUCCACUGAAGUCUAGCUCUGUCAUAAACCAGAAGUCCCCCCAUACACGGACUUCUUUCUGAGCGCUCCAUUCUGCUCCACUGGUCUCUGGUCUAUUUAUCUGAUCUGGCGCUUGAUGCCAUGUAGUCUUAAUUACUGUAGCUUUAAAAGUUCCAAUUAUCUGGUACAGCAAAUCUUCCCAUCUUGUUCUUUUUCUUCAAGAACUGCUUUUUGACUGCGCGUUUUCAUAGAAAUUUCAAAUCAGCUUGUCAAAUUACACAUAAACAAACCCACUAUCUAUUGGGAUUUUUAAAUUGAGAUCACAUUCAAUAUAAAAAGCUAAGGAUAAAAUACUGUAUUCCAACCUAUAAAUGAAGUAUAUUUCUCCAUUUAUUCAGGUCUUCUUUCCUGUCUCUCGAUGAAUUACUAUUUUCUCUAUGGGAGUAUCACACAUCUUCAAUCCAAUUUAUUCUAGGUAUUUUGUAUUUUUGAAGAUACCGAAAGAUGACGUAGAUUUUACAUGUUACCGUUUUGCUGGUUGUUGCACUUGGUGUCCUGAAAUAGAACAGGUUUUUACUUGCAGGCCUUGGAUCCUGUAGUUUGGCUAACGUCACUAUUGAUUUGAAUAUUUUACCCAUAGGGUGGACUAGCUAUGAUCUCCUGUUUAAUACUGAAUAGAAACAGUCAUUUGGGUUUUGUUCUGUCUCAAAGAGAAGGUGGCUUACAAUUCCAGUAAGUAUAAUGUUUUCCAUAGGAAUUUUUUCCUUUUGGCCAGAUUAAGAACUGCCCCUCUUAUUCUUAGUUUUCUAUGAGUUUUUUUUUUUUUUUUUAAAUGAAGAAACAUUGAAUUUGAUCAAACCCAUCUUAUGCACUGGGAUGAUCCUUUUUUUCCUGUUGUUAACCAUGGUAAAUUAAUUACACCGAUUGACUCUGUAACAUUAAACGGAUCUUGCAUUCCUGGAUAUAACCAACUCUGUCAUGAUGUAUCAUCCUGGGCUUAUCGUCUUGGGUUUUUUGCUAAUGACUGGUCAGUUUCCUGAUACUGUGUGUAGGAUUUUUGCAUCUUAUAAUCAUCUUAUGCAUCUUCUGAGUCUUACAGCUGAGAGUGGCCUAUAAUUUUCCAUUCUCAAAUGUUCUUCCUUGGUUUUGUCAUGCAGCUUUUGCUGGCCUUAAAAACAAAUUGUGAAAUCUUUCUUCCUUUACUUCUCUGGAAGAGGAUGUUUAAAAUUGGGGAUUUUCCUUUUCAUUAGGAGUUUGGUAGGAUGUGCCAAUUAAGUCAUCCCAAACAGGAGUUGUCUCUUUGAGAAGAUUUUAAACUACAGGCUCAAAUUCUUAAGAGUUACAGAACUAUUAAGAUGUUCUAUUUCUUCAUGUGUCAGUUUUAGUAAAUUACAUUUUUCACAUACGUUGUCAAAUUUACUGGCAUAAAGCUCUUCAUACAUGACUUUUUUUUUUUUAAUGCUUCUGGCACCUAUUAUCUCGUCCCCCUUUUCAUCUACGUACGUUACUUGUGAUUUACCACAUUUACAAGUCUUUUCAAAUAACAAGCUUCUAGCUUUAUUGAUCCUUCCUAAUGACAACUUCUUUUCUAUUUAAUUAUUCUUGUAAAUUAGUGCUUCUUUAAAAAUAUUAAUUCCUUCCUUCUAUAUUCUUUUUCUAUUUCUUGAGAUGGAAGGCUUUGCUCACUGAUUUUCAGCCUUUCCUUCUUUCUAAAAUAUGCAUUUAAUAAGCUGAAUUCUACAAGCUUACAUAUAUUGUAUUUUCAUUAUUCAAGAUAUUUUCUAAUUUCCAUUGUAAUUUCUUUCUCAUCCCAAGGGUUACUUAGAGGUAUGCAAUAUCCACACAUAUCCCUAGUUAUCUUUUUGUUAUAUUCCUAGUUUAACUGUACUGUGGUCAGAAAACAUACUCUGUAUCAUUUCAAACCUCUGGAAAUUGUUGCAAUUUACUUAAUAGCCCAGUUUAUUGUCAAUUUUUAUUAAUGUUCUGUGCCUUUAAUAAAGUUUUUUUUUUUUUAAUUUUAAACACCAGGAGAGAACACGAACAUAGUCCCCCACUACCACAAAUUAUGCAGUCCAGUUUCCCACAUUUGGGAAAACCACAGGCGUCAGCACAUCCAGAAUGCAAUGGAUAAGCCCAGCUCUGGGAAAAUCACCUUCAUGAUGAUGGUAUCUCUCCUGCCAGGCUGUUCUGUGUUUUCUUUUGAAAAGAAUAUGUAUUCUUAAGCAUCGAAGGCAACAUUCUAAAUGUUCUCCUAGGCCAUUUGUUGUGCUGUCCAAAUCUUCUAUUUCCUCACUAAUUUUUCAUUGACUCAUUCCAUCAGUUACUACGAUGUGUGUGAAAAUUCCUCACUUUGAUCAUGGAUUUGUAUCUUUCUCUUUGUAGUUGCUUAUUUUUGCUUUAAAUACAUUGGGACUCUUCAACAAAUACAUAAAAACGUAAGUGUGACUGCCUUCUUGGUGAGAUAAGCCCUUUAUCAUUAUGAAAUGGUCCUCCUUAUCUGUAGAGUUCCUGUAUGCCUCAAAGCUGUUUUAGUUGUAUCUAUUUUAAACAAUAUGAACAGGUGAUAUUUAAAAAUCCAUCUGGGCCAGGCACGGUGGCUCCCGCCUGUAAUCCCAGCACUUUGGGAGGCUGAUGAGGCAAGGUGGUGUGUCCCCUGAAGUCAGGAGUUCAAAACCAGCCUGGCCAAUAUGGUGAAAUCCCGUCUCUACUAAAAAUACAAAAAUUAGCCGGGCAUGAGGCAUGAGAAUCGCUUGAACUCAGGAGACGGAGUUUGCUGUGAGCCAAGAUCGUGCCACUGCACUCCAUCCUGGGUGACAGAGUAAGACUCCAUCUCAAAAAACAAACAAACAAACAAACAAGUAGGAGUACACUCGAAAAUAAUAAAAAGUUGAGUAAAUAAGCUAGUAACAUAAGCCUUUAUAUUAUCAAGUAUUAUAUACUGCACAUAACUGGAUGCGCUAUGCUUUUUAUACGACUGGCAGUGCAGUAGGUUUGUCUGUGCCAGCAUCACCACACACAGGCAAUGUAUUGUGCUAUGACACUAUGAUGGCUGGGAUGUAGGAAUUUUUUAGCCCCAUUCUAACCUUACGGGACCACUGUUGUAUAAGCGGUCCACUGUUGACCGAAAUGUCAUUAUGUAGUGCAUGACUGUAGUUCAGUAAGCUUAAUGAUUAAGAGACAGUUACAUUAGGCCCUUUCAUUUACUUUUAUAACUUAUCUGAUAAGCGAGAAACACCUUAAGUUAUUAAUGAAGCCUUUAUCCCAAUCCUGUAGGUAGAAUAGAAAAAUGUUACAAGCAAAAACCAAAAUGACAUCUUAGUUUUUAACAGAGCAGCAUAAGAAAUUCUACGUUUAAUAUACAGUAUUAUGAAAUAACACGAAUGAACUGAACCUGGCAUUUACUGUCAAUUCAAAAUUGGAAAGGAAAAAACUCAAAAAGAAGAAAAUGAGUUACAAAAGGGAUUAAUAUGAAAAAAAUAAAAAUGUGAAAUGAAAUAAAGUGUUAAAUUGAAAAUUAAAAGGAAACCA
Molecule: long non-coding RNA, 5513 nt
Filed under: Homo sapiens (human)
Lineage: Eukaryota; Metazoa; Chordata; Mammalia; Primates; Hominidae
Description: HSALNT0207380
Source: RNAcentral